UGGGGAAUUUUGGACAAUGGGGGCAACCCUGAUCCAGCAAUGCCGCGUGUGUGAAGAAGGCCUUCGGGUUGUAAAGCACUUUUGUCCGGAAAGAAAACGCCGUGGUUAAUACCCGUGGCGGAUGACGGUACCGGAAGAAUAAGCACCGGCUAACUACGUGCCAGCAGCCGCGGUAAUACGUAGGGUGCAAGCGUUAAUCGGAAUUACUGGGCGUAAAGCGUGCGCAGGCGGUCCGCUAAGACAGAUGUGAAAUCCCCGGGCUUAACCUGGGAACUGCAUUUGUGACUGGCGGGCUAGAGUAUGGCAGAGGGGGGUAGAAUUCCACGUGUAGCAGUGAAAUGCGUAGAGAUGUGGAGGAAUACCGAUGGCGAAGGCAGCCCCCUGGGCCAAUACUGACGCUCAUGCACCGAAAGCGUGGGGGAGCAAACAGGAUUAGAUACCCUGGUAGUCCACGCCCU
RNAcentral lists this ribosomal RNA (458 nucleotides) under uncultured bacterium. RNAcentral's name for it is "partial 16S ribosomal RNA". It matches the Rfam family "Bacterial small subunit ribosomal RNA", at positions 355 to 803 of the family's 1533-position model. The record is from RNAcentral.